UGUGUAAAGGAGAGAGAGCGAUUGGCUAGGCUAGAACCCUAGCCGCCGCCUCCUCUCACACCCGCGUGGCCUCUCCGACCUGCUUCCUCUCCUCACCUCGCACCCCUCGCGCUGCCACCCUCCCAACCUCUCAUCUUCCAGCGCCUCCUCCCCGUCAGCUCGAUCUCUCCACUCCCAGCCGGUCAUCCUUCUCUUGCAUCGCCCGGAGGGGUGCAGCCGCCGCCGCUCGCAUUUGUUACUCCCCCUGCCCCCACCUUGCGAGCUCGCACAUCUGCUCCGCCCAGAGGCGUCGCCAUUGACCGCCGGAGGACCGUGCCGCAGCCAAACUCGAGGACAACCACUGCUAUGGCCCGUGGAGUUGCAAGUGGAAGGUUGAACCGGCGAUGGCAGCUGUAGCGUGACAGACGACAUCAGCAACAAGCAAUUACUCAUCUUUGCAUCAGCAACAGAUGGAUGAUGGAAUUGUUUCAAUCUGGAUAUUUUGCUUGGAAAAAAUUAUCACGUACAGUACCAGAAGGGUGAGAGUGAAUUUCAAACGGCUUAUGACAAAGGAAUGCCCAAAUCAAAGUUCUGGGAGCCUGCAUAUGAAGAUUGCUUAAAUAUGAUUGCUCUACCGCAUGUACUCCCCCGUUGCUCCUCUACUCCAGGUCCUCCCCCCUCUCUCUGCCUCUCUCUCUCUAUGACCGCUGCUCCCAUCAUCUUGGAACUGCAGGAGACGAACAUGUCGUCUUAGGAUCGGACGUUGCUGGUCGCCGGCUUGGCCUGCAAGAGGAUGCCCCCUGCUCUGACUUGUUCACAUCUUAGUGUUUCACCAAUGAAGAUGUAUUUUCAAGGUAGAUUGGUUCUUUUCUGGCCUACUAAUUUACCAUUGACUUUGUUACAUAUGCAUAUGUGUGGAAAGAUAUGUGAAUUAGCAAGCAGAUAGCUCGCAACCGUCUAAAUCCCUUGAUGCCCCUUGCGUGCCACCUAAUAGUGUUGGAUUGGUUGUAAAUGAUUCUUUGUUGGUGGCAGCAUUGAAUUAGCAAGCAUGCCACACAUUUGCCACAUUGAUCUUUGCAUAUGCUAUAAUUUUCAUGUUAUUUUUUAUCUGACAUAUCAAGGUUUUUGAUUCUCCUAGCCAAGUCGAGUCGCCAUGCCUCCGACCAGUGGCUCGCUGCGAUUAGUCUGUGACUCGUCGUGAUUAAUCGCCCCAAGUUGCCCCAGGUGUUAAGAGGAGGAGGAGGGGGGAGGUGCUAUUGCAGGCGAAGGAGGGGGUAGGAAACUGCUUGGGAGGAUACUUCAGCUCAGAGAAGGCAGCAGCAGCUCGUAGGAGCAAUGGAGGCGGUGAUUCUGAUCUGUGAUGGGAGCACGCGUCUUGCUCCUCCUCUGUUUCAUGCUAGAGAGCUGGCCCAAUAGGCCCAUUAUGUAACCCUAGCUUCCAAAUAAAAUCCAAACCGUCCAUAUGCUCUAAUCUGGACCGCGCAUCUGCUCUCCCACGUGCCUUUCUCCUUUGUCUCUUUCGUGCUUCUCUUCGUACACGCGGCGCACUCUCCAGCUUUGUCUCCUCCUCCCCUGCCUUGGACUCAGGCCUCCUCACCUUCCCGGUCUUGCCAUCCCUUGGCCUUGCUUAAGCAAGCCGCCCUGCUUUGAGGUCCUAGUCGCCUGACUAGUCGUAGACUAAUCAUCGACUAGCCUACCAGCCGCGCGGCUCGCUCCUCUAGCCAAGUCGCCUGCACAAGCCAACCUCUCCCCAACGACUUGGCGAUUAGUCAGAGAUUAGUCGGCGACUCAAAAACCUUGUGACGUAUAAUUCCCAAUGGAAACCGUCGAUAGGAAUACGAUAGCAUGCAGCACCCGGUCCUAUGUGAGCGCAUUUUUUUAUCUCUGGUAUACACUAAAAAAAUGAGCACAUAUAUUUGUUGGUAAGCAAUUUUUUUCGCAACAAUUACUGUCGUUGAUUGUAUGUUCCAAAAAUAGUGAACACUUUUUGUGGACCCAAAACACAAAGAGAUAGAUGUCAUAUGUGCUUUUAUGUUUCUGAUCCCCCUUUUCUAGUGCUUCAUACAACAAAGAACCAGAGUCAUCGAUGCAGAGGAUCAUUAUCGCGUCCGCUGGCUGAGGGGCAAGCUGGGGCUGUAGUCCUUGAACAUAGUGGUUCUACUGUGAGGAUCUCAUCUCUCUCACUAUGCGCGUAUCUCUCUCUGUCCUGUCUCCCUUUUUGCUAAUCAUUCACGCCUUUCAUGAUCACUAAGUUUUUUUUAGUUUUGUAGUUGUCGAUUGCUGGGAGAAUGAUUAUCCUGAUUAAUUAAGAUUUAAAUGUGUUAGACCAGACCAAGAUGGAUUAGUUUUGAUGUAUAUUUUGGGUUAGGAAAAUGUCAAACCUUAACAUUUAGAAGAAGCUUUACAUAGUUGGAUCCAUUACAGUGCUGCCUUGGUCGUUGUCGUAGGUGAAGGCCUUGCAUUGGGACUCUGUGCCUCCUAAACUAACAACAAAUGAACUUGCCUUUAGGAUUUUUGCACUGCACUGUGCAUCCAGGUCCAACCCAAUGGUUAGGACGGUGGUUCUUGCAUAGCAUACAUGGAUAUGGUACAUGUGGGGAAGAAAUAUAAGAAACUCAUGCUCAUUAGCGAGGGCAGAGGUCAUAUAGUCAUCAAGGACAUCCUUAGUGUCUUCCACUCCAUCACCUUCUGCUCGGCCACUUUCAGUAAGUACCUUUAUACAAAUCCCCAUUGGACCAAUUAACAUGCUGAAUAUUGUUUCAUACAGUACCUGGCAAAUGGCCAAUCGAGUAAAUGUGGGUUUGGUGCAUUGGUAUGUCCUAUGCAGAGCUUUGAGAUUUGUUUAGGCGCAGAGUGUUCAUGUUAAUCUCCAUGUGUGUGUUCUAGGACAAGAGGAUAUGGGAUAUCUGUGGGGAAAACUUUGUUUUUGCCACUCUAGUUUUUGCCAACUUUGCUUAUGCCACUUUAGAAUUUGAGAUUUCACUUUUGCCACUCUUAGCUUUUGAUAAUAUAUCACUUUUGCCAUUCCGUGGCAAAAGCAAAAAAUUUAGAGUGGCAAUUGUGAUACAUGUCAAAAGCUAAGAGUGGCAAAAGUGAAAUGAAAAAUUAUCGUUUUUGCCACGAAAUGGAAUUUGUGAUGUAUUGUCAAAAGCUAAGGGUGGCAAAAGUGAGAUGUCAAAUUCUAGAGUGGCAUAAGCAAAGUUGGCAAAAACUAGAGUGGCAAAAACAAAGUUUUCCCAUAUCUGUGUUGUGUGUAUGCAGGCAAUUCCCAUGUUUCAGACUCAGUAGUCACUAUUUUUUUGAAGCAGUCAAACUACUAGCAAGAAUAGAUGGCCAGCUUAAUAUUUUCUAUUUCAUGCAUGAUUGAAAUGGCGAAUGUGCUAGAAAAAGAAGAAUUUUGUAACUCCCAAUCUGAGUCAAGCUACUAGCAAUGAGUAGAUGGUCAGCUUAAUAGAUUUUUUAAAUGGGUACGGAAUUGGCAGCAGAUAAAGGGUGAUAGCUUUGCAGUGUGAAUCAUUUUCUAGGCCGCCACCGAUCAUAAAUUGGUGAUAUUGUAGUAGAACUGUGGAAGAACCUUGCUGCAGAUAUCAAAUUUGAUUCAUUUUCUUAUUACAACUAUAUUAGUCUUUUUUGCAAAUUAACUAUUCUUUGUAAGGUCACAAUAUACAACAAAUUAAAAGUAUGAUUCUAGGAUUCUUAUAUGAAGCUGUGUAUUUUGGUCACUUAUGUAUGUUUGUGGGGUCUACUACCUUUUGUUAUGCUUCGUGAAGUACGACAUAGGCGCUUUAUGAACUACCACUAAUUGUUACCCAUCAUGUGGUGUUUGCAUCCUUUUGCAUCGUCUUCGGCCAAAACAUGCUACAUGUAGGUUCUCUUGGGUGUUAUUAUGUUUUAUGUACUAUUAUCAUGACUUGCCUUUGGUAUAUCAUGCUAGGCAAAGAAGACUAUGUACAACCUCUUCUUUUUGAAGCCCUCGGCCCCUCACGACCUGUUGAAGUUGAGGGCAGUAGCUCACACUGUGAGGGGCUUCAGCAACGGGGCCUAUUAUGCACAUGAUGGUGUGAUACUCUCCUGGGUAGAGCUCAUCCAUGGCUUGCGUGAGUAUCCCCAAAGGCGGGUGGUAUGGCAAGCCGCGGGGAGCUCAGGAUAGGGUCAGCAGCUUCAACAGUUUGAACUGCACCAAUGCAACUGUAUGUCUCUAGAGUAUGUACUCAGCUCAAAAAAAAUCUCAAGUGUAUAUCUUCUCGAGACAUGACAUGGAUGAACACUGACAUGCUUGCUGCAAUCCCAUUAUGAACCACGUGCUUCUACUUCUCUCUGAAUUCGUAUUUUGAACAUGGUGAAUUUCUGGGAAUGUAGUUUCAUCUUUGCUAUUUAUGUCUGUAUAUUUGUGAAUACAUACAUGGUCAGUUAGUUUUCUUGGUAAACAUAAGAAUUUAGGUUCACAUAAACACCCACUUUUAUGUUGGCUACAUAUUAGUUACACUGAUGCACUACUCAAGCUUUGCUUUCCUUAUAUGGAAAUUUCAUCCGUGAAGUAUGUUGUACCAGCCUUAUGGCUUGCUGAAUAUUGCUCUCGCUAAUCGAUUGCUGCUAUGCAUAUUCUACUUUGCCUGUCUGGGGUAAAUUGAAGGAUGUGUCAUUGGCUGAUGAGGUUAUCCCCACUAAAGCCAAGAAGGCCAGGCGCAACUAAAACCAGGAAGGCCAAUUCUUGUUAAGUGCUCGCCCUUUUGUCUAUAUAUAUGCAGGACCUUAUCAUUUUGUCUGUGGAUGUGCGAAAGAAUGAUGUCUGGAUAUGGGAGUGUCUCUUUAGAUGUAGAUAUAGAUAGUGCCUCAAGCAACUAAACCGCAUAUGGGGUUUUAACAUUGUCUUUGGUGGAAAAGGCCCUCAAUUCUCGACCAUUGUUCUAUUUCCGAUUUCUUGCUUGGUUGUGUAGAUGUCGUGGGUAUUGUAGUCAAGGUUUCUGAUGUACUCUUGUUCCAGCCGCAACCAUGGCAAACUGUGACACUUACUAUGAAUCAGAAGUAGUUAUGUCUAUCUCUCUA
Molecule: long non-coding RNA, 5025 nt
Organism: Triticum aestivum (bread wheat)
Lineage: Eukaryota; Viridiplantae; Streptophyta; Magnoliopsida; Poales; Poaceae
Exons: 6
Source: RefSeq, a predicted model, not a curated record